RNAcentral lists this ribosomal RNA (119 nucleotides) under Thalassobacter stenotrophicus. Lineage: Bacteria; Pseudomonadati; Pseudomonadota; Alphaproteobacteria; Rhodobacterales; Roseobacteraceae. The record is from RNAcentral.
GGUUUGGUGAUCAUAGCGCGAGCGAAACACCCGGCUCCAUUCCGAACCCGGCAGUUAAGCGCCGUAGCGCCGAUGGUACUGCGUCUUAAGGCGUGGGAGAGUAGGUCAUCGCCAAACCU